CUUCUCCUCUAUCUAUAAAUAGCCCUUUGACCCUAAAUUUUACUAGCAAUGUCCCAUCACUCCCGUCGCCGCCGGCAGCCAACUACCCACUCCUCUUCCACCUCGGGAUCCCUCCCGAUCCUUCUCCACCCAACCAGCGCCUCUCCUGGUCUCCUCCUCGUUUUCCCCUCCUCUGCUCGUUCGUCCCCGAGCAUCUCGCUCCACUAGCAGGCCAGCGCCUCCACCGUCGCCGGCAACCGCGUCACCAUGACCCCCGCGGCCUCAAGCCCCUCGUGCCGAGCAACCCUCCUGGUCGCCUCCCUCCUCCCGUGCUUCGAUACAGGGUGGAUCGGAACCAGUGCCCGAGCCCUCCUCUACCUCUCCUCGAGCUCGGCCGCCCCAACGUCGUUUUCCCCUUCGCCUCACAUCUCUCUCUCUCUUUCUAAAUCGCAGCAACAUGAGCCUCGCCAUGAACGCCCGUCGCCGGACGUCUCCGCAGCCGUUCCUCGCCAAAUCCCACGUCGCCUUGAACGGAGGCCACCUCGUGCCGCCGGUCGCCUCCCCAUGCCAAAUCCGGAGCGCCCAGUCCUCUGUCUCCACGUUGGCUCCGUCGCCUCGUCAAGUUCCUGGAGCUGCUGCUGCUCCCUGCAUCGCCCCGCGCUCGCUGCCGCCUUCAGCCACCCGAGGUCCUCCUCCUCGCCGCCGCUGCUCCGGCGAGCACCACCAGGACGCCGCCGCCAUGGCCUCAGCUCUCCGCCCGCCUCCGCCCACGUCCUCGACUGGAUCCACCGGCCGCGCCAAGUCCCGCAGCCGCUGACGUCGCCGCGUCUUCUUCCCCUGCGCUGCUCGAGAGAGAGAGCCGCACCCAAGCCCCGUGCUGCACCUCUGCUUCGUUCGAGCAGAGGAUGACGCCUCCUUGUCCGCUUCGCCUUGGCCUGCCUCCUCGUUGCGGGCCUCUACACCGAACGGCCCAAGGCCACUAGGUAAGCAGACCCAGAUCCAGCGCUCACUAGUCAGGCCCAGUUCCAGCAGAUUCGGCCCGACUAAUGUUUUUUCCCUCUGGGUGAUUUUAGCUAUUUAUCCAGAGAACGCCUGUUUUGCAGAAGAGCCCUCAUGCCUCAUACAUUUAAUAUCUCACAAACCGUGCAUCAUAUGUAAAUAAUUUAAAUAUGUAAAAUGCUUCGAAUUUCAUCUAGUUUCAUAAUAUUCAACGUUCAUCCGUGAUUAAAAUGUUUAAAAUGUUGUUUGCAUUUAAUUUGCAUUAAUAAUAUGUUAACAUGGUUUAUUUCAUAUCUAAUUAACCGUAGCUCCGAAUUAAAUAAACUUUAUAUGUAAAUGGGGUAAAAAAUGCAUAGAUUAACAUGGUGCACGUUAUUUUCCUGUUUAACAACUCUAAAAUAUGGCUUAGGGCAGAACAGUAGCAAAUUCGGAAUAUGCAUAUGGGGAUUUUUCGGAAUUGUUGUUUGUGUUUCGGCCUCAUUUAAACUUGCCUAAAUGUGCAGUUUACUUAUGCUUCACCCCUUGCCAUGUUUAAUAACAUUUAAUAUUGUUGGGUACAUAACCGAGAGAGAACUAAAUAAGUCAUGUGGUGUUUCGUCAAUAUGCAUCUCUUUGCAUAUUGAACUGCACUUAAUUUGUAGUAUUGUUUGUUGCACUUUGCUAUGUCAUGACAAACCGGACAUGCAUCAUACUUGAUUGCGCAUCAUGCAAUGAUUAUGUUUGGUUGUUUACUAUGUUGGUUGCUUCUUUCCGGUUGUACUCCGUUGUUUGCCUUGUUACCGCUUUGCUCAGCCCCUCUUAUAGCGUUGCUAGUUGCAGGUUAUUUCAUGUUGGGACAUGGAUGUCAUGGAUAUCAUGGGGUAUCACAAUAUCUUUUAUUUAAUUAUAAUGCAUCUAUAUACUUGGUAAAGGAUGGAAGGCUCGGCCUUUUGCUUGGUGUUUUGUUCCACUCUUGCCGCCCUAGUUUCCGUCAUACCGGUGUUAUGUUCCUUGAUUUUGCGUCCCUAACACGAUGAGGGUUUAUGGGCAGUUUGCUUUGAAUAAAACUCUUACAGCAAGGACCAACAUUGGUUUUACCAUUUGCCUAAUAACAACUAAAACUUGCAUAGGGACCGGCUAGCACCCGAGGAUUCUUAAUUAACCCCCGGGCCAGUGCUCCUCGUGAGUGCUGGUCCAAACUAGAGCACCCUGCGGCGCCCCCUGGGCAACUUGGGUCCCAGCGACCGUAAGCUUUGCUCAUCCGUCGUGGCCUGAGACGAGAUAUGAUCGGCUACUAUCAGGGUGUCAGCACAUCGGGAGGUCUUGCUGGACUUGUUUUACCAUUGUCGAAUUGUCUUGUGCAUCGGGACUCCGAGUCUGAUCGGAGGGUCCUGCGAUGGAGGAUUGUCUCCGUGGAUCGUGAGCUUGUCAUGGGCUAAGUUGGGACACCCCUGCAGGGUUUAAACUUUCGAGAGCCGUGCCCGCGGUUAUGUUGCAUAUGGGAAUUUGUUAAUAUCCGGUUGUAGUGAACUUGAAGUAAACUCAACUAAAAUACACCAACCGCGUGUGUAACCGUGACUGUCUCUUUUCGAGGAAGUUCGAGAAGAGAACACGGUUGUGUUAUGCUUGAACGUAAGUAGUUCAGGACCACCUCUUGAUCAUUACUAGUCUGCGACCGUUGCGUAGUUUUUCAUCUUCUUUUUGUAUUCGUAAGUUAGCCACCAUACAAUGCUUAGUGCUGCUGCAACCUCACCACUUAUCCAUUCAAUACCCAUUAAGCUUUGCUAGUCUUGAUACCCAUGGUAAUGGGAUUGCUGACUCCUCGUGGCUCGCAGAUUACUACAACAACAGUUGCAGGUACAAGUAAUGCGAUGAUCUGACGCGAGUGCGAUGCUUUCUUGUUUGGAGUUCUUAUGCUUCUUCUUCGAUCAAGGGAUAGGUUUCGGGUCGGAGAACCUGGGAUUAGCAGGGUGGAUGUUGUUCUUCUUUUUCGUUUGAUUUCAUUUGUAGUCGGAUCCUGCUCUUCUGUAUGAUGGUUGCCAUGUAUUGAUGUAUUGUUGUAUGAAUGUUGUAACUUGUGGCGAGUGUAAGCCUUUAUGUUGUAUUCUCAUCUAUUCAGUACAUGGUAUGUUGUAAUAAUAUCCACCUUGCUAUGCGCUCGAAA
Molecule: long non-coding RNA, 3121 nt
Organism: Aegilops tauschii subsp. strangulata
Lineage: Eukaryota; Viridiplantae; Streptophyta; Magnoliopsida; Poales; Poaceae
Source: RefSeq, a predicted model, not a curated record